GUCUAUGGCCAUGCCACCCUGAACAUGCUCGAUCUCGUCUGAUCUCGAAGUUAAGCAGGGUCGGGCCUGGUUAGUAUUUGGAUAAGAGAUCACCUAGGAAUACCGAGUGCUGUAGGCU
Molecule: ribosomal RNA, 118 nt
Filed under: Pteropus alecto (black flying fox)
Lineage: Eukaryota; Metazoa; Chordata; Mammalia; Chiroptera; Pteropodidae
Source: RNAcentral